RNAcentral lists this ribosomal RNA (254 nucleotides) under uncultured bacterium. Its description in RNAcentral is "partial 16S ribosomal RNA". It matches the Rfam family "Bacterial small subunit ribosomal RNA", at positions 524 to 776 of the family's 1533-position model. The record is from RNAcentral.
UACGGGGGGAGCAAGCGUUGUUCGGAUUUACUGGGCGUAAAGGGCGCGUAGGCGGCCACUGCAAGUCGGUUGUGAAAUCUCCGGGCUUAACCCGGAAAGGUCAAUCGAUACUGCAGGGCUAGAGUGCAGAAGGGGCAACUGGAAUUCUCGGUGUAGCGGUGAAAUGCGUAGAUAUCUGGAGGAACACCGGUGGCGAAGGCGGCGUUCUGGACUGCAACUGACACUGAAAAACGAAAGCCAGGGGAGCAAACGGG